GACGAACGCUGGCGGCGUGCUUAACACAUGCAAGUCGAACGGUGAAGCUCCAGCUUGCUGGUGUGGAUCAGUGGCGAACGGGUGAGUAACACGUGAGCAACCUGCCCCUGACUCUGGAAUAAGCGCUGGAAACGGCGUCUAAUACUGGAUACGAGAAGGGCCCGCAUGGGCACUUUCUGGAAAGUUUUUCGGUUGGGGAUGGGCUCGCGGCCUAUCAGCUUGCUGGUGAGGUAAUGGCUCACCAAGGCGACGACGGGUAGCCGGCCUGAGAGGGCGACCGGCCACACUGGGACUGAGACACGGCCCAGACUCCUACGGGAGGCAGCAGUGGGGAAUAUUGCACAAUGGGCGAAAGCCUGAUGCAGCGACGCCGCGUGAGGGAUGACGGCCUUCGGGUUGUAAACCUCUUUCAGCAGGGAAGAAGCGAAAGUGACGGUACCUGCAGAAGAAGCACCGGCUAACUACGUG
Molecule: ribosomal RNA, 468 nt
Filed under: uncultured bacterium
Lineage: Bacteria
Description: partial 16S ribosomal RNA
Rfam family: Bacterial small subunit ribosomal RNA
Source: RNAcentral